Molecule: ribosomal RNA, 477 nt
Filed under: Vanhornia eucnemidarum
Lineage: Eukaryota; Metazoa; Arthropoda; Insecta; Hymenoptera; Vanhorniidae
Description: eukaryotic LSU rRNA
Source: RNAcentral
AAACCGUUCAGGGGUAAACCUGAGAAACCCAAAAGAUCGAACGGGGAGAUUCAUCGCCAGCGGCGUUGGCUUCCAUGCGGUUCGCGAUGUGGCCGGGGCUCUCGGGUCCCGGCGGCACGCGUCCGCCGUGGCAUGCCCGGCGUCGUCGGCGUGCACUUCUCCCCUUGUAGAACGUCGCGACCCGUUGGGUGUCGGCCUACGGCACGGGCGGUCGUCUGUAACGUCGCCUCGCGGCGCGCGUUGCAGACCCCCGGUUCGCCCGGCCGGCUGCCCGGCGGUACUCGCACGGUAUCGGGCCGCAGUCUCGUACUGCGUCGGGCCCGCCGCAAGCGCGGCCAGUGACACUCGGAGUUAUACGGACCCGGUGCCGUACCCGAGCCUGGCCAGCUGUUGGUAGGCGGUGUCCUCUGACAGGCUCGCGAAUCACUUCGAAAGGGAUACCGGUCGGCGACGCUACUGCUUUGGGUACUUUCAGGA